ACCUCGUGAUCCGCCCGUCUCAGCCUCCCAAAGUGCUGGGAUUACAGGCUUGAGCCACCGCGCCCGGCCAUCUCAGUAUUUCCUAUGACCACUUCCUUUUUCAACUGAAGACAAUGCACCUGAAGGGGUUCCCAGGUUUUUCACCUUGGCCCUUGUCAGGACUGAUCCUCUCGGCUACUGUCCAUUUCACCUCCAUUCGUGUCCAUGCCACAUCAGGCUGUGUUGUCCAGAUGGAAUGAAUCCACCCCAAAUGUCCCUUUCUGGAGGAAGCCACCAUGAUGCUGUACCUCCAACACGUCCACACACACCGAGGCACCUCGCUCACGCAAGGUGUGUGUCCUCCAACCGAGUUUCAUGCUGUAAACCCAGGAAACUUGUGGAAGAUCCUGAAGGGUGGCAUCGUUGAGGGAGCCUGAGACAGAGCAACACAAGCUAAGAAGGAGGGCAGUGCCACAGCAGAACUGCUAUUGAUGCCCCCUCACCUAGAUUCCAGAAGAGACAUCCAGCUAUAGACACUGAGGUGCAGGAAAACAGUGGAGCACCCAGCACCCAUCAGAGAAAGCAGUGCCCAAGAACAUGGAGGCACUGAUGGUGGCAAGGGGAAAAGACAGCUGCCAUGAGGCUGUUCUCAUGAGGGUCUCAGGCUGCACAGACACCCACAUUGGCUGACGGGUACUGGUUUUCAUAAGGGUGUGGCUCAGCCAGGCCACCAACAAGCAGUUAACAAACAGUAGUAAUACGACACUUCCAAAAACCUUACUUGAGUAACACGGUGAUCCUCACAAAUUUCCAAUCACGACGGUCGCACAGUUCCUUCUGUUUUAGGACACAGAGCCUGCCCGUGUCUGUCCUGUCUGUUGACCACGGGUCAGAGGUACAGGCUGCACUGGGGAGUAAGAAUGUCACCUUCUCAACUUUGGGAAAACUCCCUGCUAGAACUGAGAAUGGCCCUUUCUAAGCAGAAGGCAAGUUCAGACUAAAGGAGGAGCCACCGCACCCGGCCCACAGUGAAAAUAUUAAUAGUUGUCAAGGUUUCUGGAGAAAGAGGACAGAGAUUAAUGAGCGAGAAGAGGGGAUUUUUAGGGAGGUGAACAUAUUCUUUAUGAGAACAUAAUGGUGAACAUAAUGUUACCAAUAUUUCAAACGUCAUAUUAAAUGUGUAACAAAGAAUGAACGUUAUGUAAAUGAUAGACUCCAGAUAAUAUGUCAAUAUUUUCUCAUUACUUUUAGCAAAUGUGCUACAUUAAUGUAAGAUGUUAAUAAUAGAUGAAAUUAGGAAGUGAGGGUGAGGGGACAGAAGGAUAUGGGAACUUUGUGUAUUACAUGCUCAGUUUUUUUUUGUUUGAGAUGGAGUUUCGCUCUUGCUGUCCAGGGUGGAGUACAAUGGUGUGAUCAUGGCCU
Molecule: long non-coding RNA, 1401 nt
Organism: Cercocebus atys (sooty mangabey)
Lineage: Eukaryota; Metazoa; Chordata; Mammalia; Primates; Cercopithecidae
Exons: 3
Source: RefSeq, a predicted model, not a curated record